This 268-nucleotide ribosomal RNA is filed under the name uncultured bacterium. Its description in RNAcentral is "partial small subunit ribosomal RNA". It matches the Rfam family "Bacterial small subunit ribosomal RNA", at positions 26 to 285 of the family's 1533-position model. The record is from RNAcentral.
AGAACGAACGCUGGCGGCGUGGAUAAGACAUGCAAGUCGAGCGAGAUUUUUCGUUGUAGCAAUACGAUGGAAAGUCUAGCGGCGAACGGGUGCUUAACACGUGGGCAAUCUGCCCUGCAUUCUGGGACAAGCCUUGGAAACGAGGUCUAAUACCGGAUACGACGCAUCUCCGCAUGGAGUGUGCGUGGAAAGCUCCGGCGAUGCAGGAUGAGCCCGCGGCCUAUCAGCUUGUUGGUGGGGUAAUGGCCUACCAAGGCGACGACGGGUA